GACGAACGCUGGCGGCGUGCUUAACACAUGCAAGUCGAACGGAAAGGCCCUGCUUGCAGGGUACUCGAGUGUCGAACGGGGGAGUAAAACGUGGGUGAUCUGCCCUGCACUUCGUGAUAAGCCUUGGAAACUGGGUCUAAUACCGGAGAGGAGCCAUUUUGAGUGUGAUGGUUGGAAAGUUUUUUCGGUGUGGGAUGAGCUCGCUGCCUAUCAGCUUGUUGGUGGGGUAAUGGCCUACCAAGGCGGCGACGGGUAGCCGGCCUGGGAGGGUGGACGGCCACAAUGGGACUGAGGUACGGCCCAGGCUCCUACGGGGGGCAGCAGUGGGGAAUAUUGGAAAAUGGGGGGAAGGCUGGUGCAGCGACGCCGCGUGGGGGAUGAAGGGCUUCGGGUUGUAAAACCCUUUCGCUAGGGACGAAGCUUUUUGUGACGGUACCUAGAUAAGAAGCACCGGCUAACUACGUG
Molecule: ribosomal RNA, 465 nt
Filed under: uncultured bacterium
Lineage: Bacteria
Description: partial 16S ribosomal RNA
Rfam family: Bacterial small subunit ribosomal RNA
Source: RNAcentral